AUACGGAAGGUCCGGGCGUUAUCCGGAUUUAUUGGGUUUAAAGGGAGCGCAGGCGGAGAUGCAAGCGUGACGUCAAAUUUCGGGGCUCAACCCCGUCUCGCGUCGCGAACUGCGUCCCUUGGUUGCGGGAAGGGGAGGCGGAACUCGUGGUGUAGCGGUGAAAUGCAUAGAUAUCACGAAGAACUCCGAUCGCGAAGGCAGCCUUCCGGCCCGUCAACGACGCUCAUGCUCGAAGGUGCGGGUAUCAAACAGGAUUAGAUACCCUGGUAGUCCGCACAGUAAACGAUGGACACCCGCGGUUUGGCCUGUAUGGCUGAGCCGCCAAGCGAAAGCGUUAAGUGUCCCACCUGGGGAGUACGCCGGCAACGGUGAAACUCAAAUGAAUUGACGGGG
Molecule: ribosomal RNA, 393 nt
Filed under: uncultured bacterium
Lineage: Bacteria
Description: partial 16S ribosomal RNA
Rfam family: Bacterial small subunit ribosomal RNA
Source: RNAcentral